CUGCCUUAAGUAAACGCAAGGUACUGCAGCAGGAACUAACAGGAGAACUAAAUGUAGGGGUCACUACUUAUGCCACAAUCCACUCCAGAGGAUGAAGAAGACGGUAGGAGGCUUUGUGGAUGCAUAUUCAGACAGAGGAUGUCCCUCAUUCCAAGGAGUUUGUAUGCCAUCAAUAUCCAUGCCUCAGUGACCGAGAAAUAUUAUGCUAACCCACUCAAAAGCCAAAGCUGUUUAGAGCAGUUGUACCUACAGACAUGCAUUAGAGGUCCUUUUCUUUUCCAGUUCUGUUCCCUCAUCCCUAUUUAAGAAAAGCAGAAUUCUGUGAACAACUAUGACAGCCAGCAACCUGUCUCCUCAGCUGACUGCAUGGAGCUAUAUCAGCAAUUUGGCCCAGCAUCUAACCCAACACCUCAUGAAUCUCACCAAAAUAGAAGAUAGCAAUACAGAUGGAGUAAAAUAACAAUACAGAUGGAAGCAGUAUAUGUAUGUAAUUUGGGUUGAUAAAUGUUGCAAAAAUUUGGAGCACUAUUUAGUCUCACGCUCACAUAAAUGUACAUUCCUUGGCUUUGUGUUUUGUUGUGUGGAUUAAGUUAUAGCAGAUCUGUCUGGAACACCCGUUGAGGCUAAACAGUGGUGCUUCAUUGUUUAAUAUCAGCUGCCUUAUUAUGGGAAUUCAA
This is a long non-coding RNA of Vidua macroura (Pin-tailed whydah), 677 nucleotides long. RefSeq lists it as uncharacterized. Lineage: Eukaryota; Metazoa; Chordata; Aves; Passeriformes; Viduidae. The transcript has 4 exons. The record is from RefSeq and is a predicted model, not a curated record.